UCCGUAGGUGAACCUGCGGAAGGAUCAUUAAUGAGUUUUUUAAAGUAAACUUGAUGCUGGUCGGUCUCUGGACUUGCAUGUGCUCAGUUUGCGCUCAUCCAUCUCACACCUGUGCACUUACUGAAGAGAGAGAGGGAGAGGGAGAGUGGUUUAUUCGUUUAUUCAUUUAUUCGUGUAUUCAACUCAAAGUCUUCAAUCUCUCUUUUGACUUUAUAAUAAACAACUAUAUUGUUUGUGUAGAAUGCAUUAGCCUCAUUGUAGGUGAAAUAACUAUACAACUUUCAACAACGGAUCUCUUGGCUCUCGCAUCGAUGAAGAACGCAGCGAAAUGCGAUAAGUAAUGUGAAUUGCAGAAUUCAGUGAAUCAUCGAAUCUUUGAACGCACCUUGCACUCCUUGGUAUUCCGAGGAGUAUGCCUGUUUGAGUGUCAUGUUAAUCUCAAUACAACAUUUUUUGUAACUAAAAAGUGUUAAUAUUGGACUUGGGGACUGCUGGCGUGAGUCGGCUUCUCUUGAAUGCAUUAGCUGGGCUUUUGCUCGAGUAAUUGGUGUAAUAGUUUCUAACAUUCACCGUUUACACUUGCUAAUAGAGUCUGCUUCUAAUCGUCUUGUAAUGAGACAAACACUUAACUUUGACCUUUGGCCUCAAAUCAGGUAGGACUACCCGCUGAACUUAAGCAUAUCAAUAAGCGGAGGAAAUCGUCGACUGAGCACGUCCA
This 718-nucleotide ribosomal RNA is filed under the name Pyrrhoderma noxium. RNAcentral describes it as "eukaryotic LSU rRNA". The stretch from base 277 to 430 matches the Rfam family "5.8S ribosomal RNA". Lineage: Eukaryota; Fungi; Basidiomycota; Agaricomycetes; Hymenochaetales; Hymenochaetaceae. The record is from RNAcentral.